This 253-nucleotide ribosomal RNA is filed under the name uncultured bacterium. RNAcentral describes it as "partial 16S ribosomal RNA". It matches the Rfam family "Bacterial small subunit ribosomal RNA", at positions 524 to 776 of the family's 1533-position model. The record is from RNAcentral.
UACGUAGGUGGCAAGCGUUAUCCGGAUUUACUGGGUGUAAAGGGCGUGUAGGCGGGAGCGCAAGUCAGAUGUGAAAACUCAGGGCUCAACCCUGAGCCUGCAUUUGAAACUGUGUUUCUUGAGUGCUGGAGAGGCAAUCGGAAUUCCGUGUGUAGCGGUGAAAUGCGUAGAUAUACGGAGGAACACCAGUGGCGAAGGCGGAUUGCUGGACAGUAACUGACGCUGAGGCGCGAAAGCGUGGGGAGCAAACAGG